This 268-nucleotide ribosomal RNA is filed under the name uncultured bacterium. Its description in RNAcentral is "partial 16S ribosomal RNA". It matches the Rfam family "Bacterial small subunit ribosomal RNA", at positions 521 to 788 of the family's 1533-position model. The record is from RNAcentral.
UAAUACGUAAGUGGCGAGCGUUAUCCGGAAUUACUGGGCGUAAAGCGUUCGUAGGCGGUGCAGUAAGUUGGGUUUGAAAGCCCGGGGCUCAACUCCGGACCCGGAUCCAAAACUACUGUACUUGAGCAUAUCAGGGGGCAGCGGAAUUCCCGGUGUAGCGGUAAUAUGCGUAGAUAUCGGGAGGAACACCAGUGGCGAAGGCGGCUGCCUGGGGUAUUGCUGACGCUGAGGAACGAAGGCCAGGGGAGCGAACGGGAUUAGAUACCCC